GGGAUGGAGAAGGAUAAUAAAAUUGGAAGCAAAGGAAAUAGCCAUGUGAGCACACUGCCCAUAGGGUGUUUGGGGAGUAGAAAAUUUGAGAGGGAUAAGGGGGGAGGCCAGUCAAAACUUCGGGAAUCCCAAACUCCUUUACCUUGUCCCUCCCUAUCUGACUGACUGACUGACUGACUGUCUCUGAAAUACAAGGUAUGCUUAGCAGUCACUUUUGUUGAACGAGAUGGCAUAAGAGUUAGCGUGUUUUUUUUUUUUUCUUUGUGGGGUUAUUACACUUGUUUGUCAGAAGUUUACAAGGCACCAACCACAAUCAUACAGGGCAGUCCCCCUCCACUCUCCAUCCUUUCUGUUAUUUUUGCCGUAAAUUUCGUUGAGUGAUCUCUGGUAUUUAUUAUAACUCCUACCGCUAGCUUUACGAAAGCUUUCACUCUUUCAUUAAGUGGUUUAAAAAUUAAAUAAUGCCCAAAAAACAGCUUGAGUUUUUUAUUGGAAGUGGAAGGUUGAAGUUUGAAGUUUGAACAUGCCUUUGACAUUGCAAAACCUUCUGGUUCAAAACAUCGGAAUUCUCUCGAAUCAUGAACCAAUGCUUGGGGGUUUAAACAUCAAUUAUGAAGGUCAGUUUAAUGAGUACUUUUGUUAAUUUUAAUUCAUAUCGGGUUAAACAGGAGACAUGCUCAUUUUGUCACUGCCUACAUUUACUAUUUCAGUUUUAUCCUGAUUAAUUUGCUAUUAUUGUUGAAAUACUGUAGGUUUUCUUCCAUGGGAAUCCUGAAUAAUUUCCUGAACCAGUCCAUUUGGGUCCUCAGAUUUAUCAGUGGGUGCUGGAUGAUGCAACCCAAAAUGCAGGGGUUGCAAGGGAAAGUCGACAUACACCAUUCACCCAAAGAGACUGGCACAGGGCACCAAAUGCAGAACGGCCGGUGUAGGAGGCAACAAUUUCCCAGCAAACACUGCCCCGAUCCCGAUUUGCAACCCUCCUUACAGUCAACUUUUUAAAGAGGAUGCCAAUCUAUACUGGUGCUCGGCUCGGCUUUUCCCUAGCAGUGUGUGAGCCCAUUUUCACCGUAAUAUGUAUGGACCGGAUCACAGUGAACGAUAUAUAUAAAAAAAUAAAAAAAC
RNAcentral lists this long non-coding RNA (1122 nucleotides) under Gossypium barbadense (sea-island cotton). RNAcentral's name for it is "long non-coding RNA (GBAR_LNC003898)". Lineage: Eukaryota; Viridiplantae; Streptophyta; Magnoliopsida; Malvales; Malvaceae. The record is from RNAcentral.